RNAcentral lists this ribosomal RNA (446 nucleotides) under uncultured bacterium. Its description in RNAcentral is "partial 16S ribosomal RNA". It matches the Rfam family "Bacterial small subunit ribosomal RNA", at positions 338 to 795 of the family's 1533-position model. The record is from RNAcentral.
CCUACGGGUGGCAGCAGUCGAGAAUUAUUCACAAUGGGGGAAACCCUGAUGGUGCGACGCCGCGUGGGGGAAUGAAGGUCUUCGGAUUGUAAACCCCUGUCAUGUGGGAGCACAUUCAAAAGAUAGUCCCACAAGAGGUCGCGACGGCUAACUCUGUGACAGCAGACGCGGUACUACCGAGGUCGCAAGCGUUGUUCGGAAUCACGGGCCGUAAGGGGUGCGUAGGCGGUUUCGUAAGUCGUGUGUGAAAGGCGCGGGCUCAACCCGCGGCCUGCACAUGAUACUGCGAGACUAGAGUAAUGGAGGGGGAACCGGAAUUCUCGGGGUAGCAGUGAAAUGCGUAGAUAUCGAGAGGAACACUCGUGGCGAAGGCGGGUACCUGGACAGUAACUGACGCUGAGGCACGAAGGCCAGGGGAGCGAAAGGGAUUAGAUACCCGUGUAGUC